Molecule: ribosomal RNA, 600 nt
Filed under: uncultured bacterium
Lineage: Bacteria
Description: bacterial SSU rRNA
Rfam family: Bacterial small subunit ribosomal RNA
Source: RNAcentral
GCAGUCGAGCGGUAGAGAGAAGCUUGCUUCUCUUGAGAGCGGCGGACGGGUGAGUAAUGCCUAGGAAUCUGCCUGGUAGUGGGGGAUAACGUUCGGAAACGGACGCUAAUACCGCAUACGUCCUACGGGAGAAAGCAGGGGACCUUCGGGCCUUGCGCUAUCAGAUGAGCCUAGGUCGGAUUAGCUAGUUGGUGGGGUAAUGGCUCACCAAGGCGACGAUCCGUAACUGGUCUGAGAGGAUGAUCAGUCACACUGGAACUGAGACACGGUCCAGACUCCUACGGGAGGCAGCAGUGGGGAAUAUUGGACAAUGGGCGAAAGCCUGAUCCAGCCAUGCCGCGUGUGUGAAGAAGGUCUUCGGAUUGUAAAGCACUUUAAGUUGGGAGGAAGGGCAGUAAAUUAAUACUUUGCUGUUUUGACGUUACCGACAGAAUAAGCACCGGCUAACUCUGUGCCAGCAGCCGCGGUAAUACAGAGGGUGCAAGCGUUAAUCGGAAUUACUGGGCGUAAAGCGCGCGUAGGUGGUUAGUUAAGUUGGAUGUGAAAUCCCCGGGCUCAACCUGGGAACUGCAUUCAAAACUGACUGACUAGAGUAUGGUA